RNAcentral lists this ribosomal RNA (315 nucleotides) under uncultured bacterium. RNAcentral's name for it is "bacterial SSU rRNA". It matches the Rfam family "Bacterial small subunit ribosomal RNA", at positions 28 to 334 of the family's 1533-position model. The record is from RNAcentral.
GACGAACGCUGGCGGCGUGCUUAACACAUGCAAGUCGAGCGGGGAUUGAUGAAGUGCAUGCACGGAUUCAAUUCUAGUGGCGGACGGGUGAGUAACGCGUGAGCAAUCUGUCCCAGACGGGGGGAUAACACUUGGAAACAGGUGCUAAUACCGCAUAAGACCACGGGAUCACAUGAUUCUGGGGUAAAAGAUUUAUCGGUCUGGGGUGAGCUCGCGUCCGAUUAGCUAGUUGGUGAGGUAACGGCCCACCAAGGCGACGAUCGGUAGCCGACCUGAGAGGGUGAUCGGCCACAUUGGAACUGAGACACGGCCCAG